Molecule: ribosomal RNA, 492 nt
Filed under: uncultured bacterium
Lineage: Bacteria
Description: partial 16S ribosomal RNA
Rfam family: Bacterial small subunit ribosomal RNA
Source: RNAcentral
AGUGAACGCUGGCGGUAGGCCUAACACAUGCAAGUCGAACGGCAGCACAGUAAGAGCUUGCUCUUACGGGUGGCGAGUGGCGGACGGGUGAGGAAUACAUCGGAAUCUACUUUUUCGUGGGGGAUAACGUAGGGAAACUUACGCUAAUACCGCAUACGACCUACGGUUGAAAGCAGGGGAUCUUCGGACCUUGCGCGAUUGAAUGAGCCGAUGUCGGAUUAGCUAGUUGGCGGGGUAAAGGCCCACCAAGGCGACGAUCCGUAGCUGGUCUGAGAGGAUGAUCAGCCACACUGGAACUGAGACACGGUCAAGACUCCUAAGGGAGGCAGCAGUGGGGAAUAUUGGACAAUGGGCGCAAGCCUGAUCCAGCCAUACCGCGUGGGUGAAGAAGGCCUUCGGGUUGUAAAGACCUUUUGUUGGGAAAGAAAAGCAGCAGGUUAAUACCCCGCUGUUCUGACGGUACCCAAAGAAUAAGCACCGGCUAACUUCGUG